ACGGCUUCAUGAAACACCCCCCAGGUUUGGUCCUGGCCAGUACUUGGAUGGGAGACCAACUAGGAAGACUGGGUUGCUGCCAUC
RNAcentral lists this ribosomal RNA (84 nucleotides) under Paramormyrops kingsleyae. Lineage: Eukaryota; Metazoa; Chordata; Actinopteri; Osteoglossiformes; Mormyridae. The record is from RNAcentral.